This is a non-coding RNA of Nicotiana tabacum (common tobacco), 581 nucleotides long. Lineage: Eukaryota; Viridiplantae; Streptophyta; Magnoliopsida; Solanales; Solanaceae. The record is from RefSeq and is a predicted model, not a curated record.
CUAAAAAUCACAAGUUGAAUAUCUAACUUCUCUUUUUUUUUGCUUAAAAACCAUCUUAUUUUGACCAAAGAAAUUACUUACUUGUCCCGUAUAACUUUUACUAAUCCCAAAACCACCCUCAUCAAAUAAAUCCUAAAAUAUCUAACUACUCCCACUGUCAUCUUCUUUCCUCUUCUUCUCCUUUAUCUUCCAUCUUUACCUGCGAGGAUGGAGAUGAAGGUGGAGGCUGGUCUUUGUUGUUAAUAAUGGUGUUUUGACGGUGAUAAGAGCUCAAGUUUUUUUAUGGCUCGCUGGACUUUUGUUUCUCCGGUGGCCAAGUGGGUUUCAGAUGAAGUAUGAGAGAAGACGGCGAAAAAGUAAUCAAUUUUUAAGUGGUAAAAGCGCAUGCAACUCACCGACAAAACACUCAUGUGGUUAUCUCUUAUUAAUGGUGUGUUUGUUACACUUUAAAAUAGUUUAGGGGUAAUAGGAUCCCGUGCAAAUCAAGUGUGUAGUUGAAAAUUCGACUAUAGAUCAGGGGUACUUAUGCAUUUUCCUUAUUUCUUAUGAUUGAUAAAUUUAUUUCUUUAUUGUCAUAUUAA